UAGGGAAUCUUCGGCAAUGGGGGGAACCCUGACCGAGCAACGCCGCGUGAGUGAAGAAGGUUUUCGGAUCGUAAAGCUCUGUUGUUAAGGAAGAACGAGUGUGAGAUUGGAAAGUUCAUGCUGUGACGGUACUUAACCAGAAAGGGACGGCUAACUACGUGCCAGCAGCCGCGGUAAUACGUAGGUCCCGAGCGUUGUCCGGAUUUAUUGGGCGUAAAGCGAGCGCAGGCGGUUAGAAAAGUCUGAAGUGAAAGGCAGUGGCUCAACCAUUGUAGGCUUUGGAAACUGUUUAACUUGAGUGCAGAAGGGGAGAGUGGAAUUCCAUGUGUAGCGGUGAAAUGCGUAGAUAUAUGGAGGAACACCGGUGGCGAAAGCGGCUCUCUGGUCUGUAACUGACGCUGAGGCUCGAAAGCGUGGGGAGCGAACAGG
RNAcentral lists this ribosomal RNA (429 nucleotides) under Bacteroidota bacterium. Its description in RNAcentral is "Bacteroidetes bacterium partial 16S ribosomal RNA". It matches the Rfam family "Bacterial small subunit ribosomal RNA", at positions 355 to 776 of the family's 1533-position model. The record is from RNAcentral. Lineage: Bacteria; Pseudomonadati; Bacteroidota.